RNAcentral lists this ribosomal RNA (465 nucleotides) under Vreelandella stevensii. Its description in RNAcentral is "partial 16S ribosomal RNA". It matches the Rfam family "Bacterial small subunit ribosomal RNA", at positions 338 to 795 of the family's 1533-position model. Lineage: Bacteria; Pseudomonadati; Pseudomonadota; Gammaproteobacteria; Oceanospirillales; Halomonadaceae. The record is from RNAcentral.
CCUACGGGUGGCUGCAGUGGGGAACAUUGGACAAUGGGGGCAACCCUGAUCCAGCCAUGCCGCGUGUGUGAAGAAGGCCCUCGGGUUGUAAAGCACUUUCAGUGAGGAAGAACGCCUGGUGGUUAAUACCCAUCAGGAAAGACAUCACUCACAGAAGAAGCACCGGCUAACUCCGUGCCAGCAGCCGCGGUAAUACGGAGGGUGCGAGCGUUAAUCGGAAUUACUGGGCGUAAAGCGCGCGUAGGUGGCUUGAUAAGCCGGUUGUGAAAGCCCCGGGCUCAACCUGGGAACGGCAUCCGGAACUGUCAAGCUAGAGUGCAGGAGAGGAAGGUAGAAUUCCCGGUGUAGCGGUGAAAUGCGUAGAGAUCGGGAGGAAUACCAGUGGCGAAGGCGGCCUUCUGGACUGACACUGACACUGAGGUGCGAAAGCGUGGGUAGCAAACAGGAUUAGAUACCCUAGUAGUC